This 1291-nucleotide ribosomal RNA is filed under the name Bungarus multicinctus (many-banded krait). RNAcentral describes it as "partial 16S ribosomal RNA". It matches the Rfam family "Bacterial large subunit ribosomal RNA", at positions 559 to 2606 of the family's 2925-position model. Lineage: Eukaryota; Metazoa; Chordata; Lepidosauria; Squamata; Elapidae. The record is from RNAcentral.
UACACAAACAUCCUACAUAUAUUAUAAACAAAUCAUUUGACCCACCUAGUAGAGGCGAUCGAACAGUCAUACUCCUUAUAGUACCGCAAGGGAACCGCUCUAAGCAAUAAACAGCAAAGAUUAACUCUUGUACCUUUUGCAUCAUGGUUUAGCAAGAAACCCAGGGCAAGAAGAACCACAGUCCACAUCCCGAAACCAGAUGAGCUACCUUUAAGCAGCCUAAAGGGCACACCCUUCUCUGUGGCAAAAGAGUGGGAAGACUUUAAAGUAGAGGCGAAACACCUAUCGAAUCUGGAGAUAGCUGGCUACCUAAAAAGGAAUCUAAGUUCCACUUUAGACCUAUAACAACCCCUAUAUUAGUCUAAAGAUAUUCAUUAGGGGUUCAGCCCUAAUGAACCAGGAUACAACCUGUAUUUGAGAGACACAUCUUUAAUUUUUUCCCCGUAGACCUUAAAGCAGCCACCCCACAAAAUAUCGUUAAAGAAUUACCAAGACUAAUUCAAACCUCAAAUUAAACCUCCAAACAAACUAAAGGUAAAUCUACAUCCGUAGAAAUAAUUCUGCUAGAACUAAUAAUAAGACAACCCCUCUAUACGUACCUUUCCGCUAGAAACAGAAAAUCUACUAGUUAUUAACAGACUCUCAAAUGACAAACUCACUCAAUAUACAUUAAACACCCCACUGUGACCCCAACACAGGCACGUACAAAAGAAAGAUAAAAUACUAUAAAAGGAACUCGGCAACCAAAGACCCCAACUGUUUAACAAAAACAUAACCUUUAGCUACAUAAACCAGUAUUAAAGGCAACGCCUGCCCAGUGAACAAUUAAACGGCCGCGGUACCCUAACCGUGCAAAGGUAGCGUAAUCACUUGUCUAUUAAUUGUAGACCCGUAUGAAAGGCAUAAUGAGGGCCUAACUGUCUCUUAUAGUAAAUCAAUUAAACUGAUCUCCCAGUCCAAAAGCUGGAAUGUAAACAUAAGACCAGAAGACCCUGUGAAGCUUAAACUAAACUAUUAAAACCAAUAAUAGCUACUUUCGGUUGGGGCGACCUUGGAAACAAAAGAAACUUCCAAAAAAAUAACUUAUACUGUUCUAUACGGCCAACAAGCCUACUACGACCCAGCACAGCUGAUAAUUGAACCAAGUUACUCCAGGGAUAACAGCGCUAUCUUCUUCAAGAGCCCAUAUCAAAAAGAAGGUUUACGACCUCGAUGUUGGAUCAGGACAUCCUAAUGGUGCAGCCGCUAUUAAGGGUUCGUUUGUUCAACGAUUAAUAGUCCUACGUGAUCU